Molecule: ribosomal RNA, 1172 nt
Filed under: uncultured bacterium
Lineage: Bacteria
Description: bacterial SSU rRNA
Rfam family: Bacterial small subunit ribosomal RNA
Source: RNAcentral
GGCGUGCCUAAUACAUGCAAGUCGAACGCACUGACGUCGACAGAAGGUGCUUGCACUGGAAGUUGAUUGACGUGAGUGGCGGACGGGUGAGUAACACGUGGGUAACCUGCCCUUAAGCGGGGGAUAACAUUUGGAAACAGAUGCUAAUACCGCAUAAAAGUUGAGAUCACAUGGUCUUAAUUUGAAAGACGGCCUUUGGCUGUCACUUAAGGAUGGACCCGCGGCGUAUUAGCUAGUUGGUGAGAUAAUAGCCCACCAAGGCGAUGAUACGUAGCCGACCUGAGAGGGUAAUCGGCCACAUUGGGACUGAGACACGGCCCAAACUCCUACGGGAGGCAGCAGUAGGGAAUCUUCCACAAUGGACGAAAGUCUGAUGGAGCAACGCCGCGUGAGUGAAGAAGGUUUUCGGAUCGUAAAACUCUGUUGUUGGAGAAGAACAGGGACUAGAGUAACUGUUAGUCCUUUGACGGUAUCCAACCAGAAAGCCACGGCUAACUACGUGCCAGCAGCCGCGGUAAUACGUAGGUGGCAAGCGUUGUCCGGAUUUAUUGGGCGUAAAGCGAGCGCAGGCGGUUUCUUAAGUCUGAUGUGAAAGCCUUCGGCUUAACCGAAGAAGUGCAUCAGAUACUGGGAAACUUGAGUGCAGAAGAGGAAAGUGGAACUCCAUGUGUAGCGGUGAAAUGCGUAGAUAUAUGGAAGAACACCAGUGGCGAAGGCGGCUUUCUGGUCUGUAACUGACGCUGAGGCUCGAAAGUAUGGGGAGCGAACAGGAUUAGAUACCCUGGUAGUCCAUACCGUAAACGAUGAAUGCUAAGUGUUGGAGGGUUUCCGCCCUUCAGUGCUGCAGCUAACGCAUUAAGCAUUCCGCCUGGGGAGUACGACCGCAAGGUUGAAACUCAAAGGAAUUGACGGGGGCCCGCACAAGCGGUGGAGCAUGUGGUUUAAUUCGAAGCUACGCGAGGAACCUUACCAGGUCUUGACAUCUAGCGCCAAUCCUAGAGAUAGGACGUUCCCUUCGGGGACGCUAAGACAGGUGGUGCAUGGUUGUCGUCAGCUCGUGUCGUGAGAUGUUGGGUUAAGUCCCGCAACGAGCGCAACCCUUAUGAUUAGUUGCCAGCAUUUAGUUGGGCACUCUAAUCAGACUGCCGGUGACAAACCGGAGGAAGGUGGGG